Molecule: non-coding RNA, 619 nt
Organism: Cinara cedri
Lineage: Eukaryota; Metazoa; Arthropoda; Insecta; Hemiptera; Aphididae
Source: the annotation of a GenBank genome assembly
AUUCUCCCGACUUCUCCUUGAAAGUGUUCAUUUUACGAUUUCCCGCACCUACGUAGUAUCGUACACACGAAUAGUAUGUUCGCGACGCGUAAACAAACUUAAUUCGCCUCAUUUUCGCCGCGACCUCGCGGUUGUUCCAGUUUUUUUAUAUUUAUUAUAAUAUUUAAAUUUUCUAUUGAAUAUACACGCGCCAGGUGUACGAACGGAAAAACGGUUCGAUCUCGGGGUUUUUUUUUUUUUUUUUAAUUGCGCAUACCCGUUACGUAUAAAUUAUAAAAAAAAAAAAAAAAAAAAAUUAGAGUUAUCGUGAUAAAACCGUUUAUUUUCGCGUAUGUACAAAAUAAAAUAAAAACCAACAAUAAUUUAUACGGGCCUCGUUUAACAACGGGCAAUUGGAUCCGAAUCGCGCAGGAAAGUGCGGUUGACUCCGCGCGUUCGGGCUGUACGAUAUAUUAUACGUAUAUGCGUAGGUACCGCGUUCAAAAAUUAAAAAAAAAAAAAAAAAAAAAAAACGUAAACUAUAAUAUUAUUAUAUACGCGGUACACCGGCAGCGUAGGUGCGUAAUAGAAAGAAAAUGUAGAAACGGAAGCCACCCCUCCUGUUUUCGUGUGCAUACUA